This 446-nucleotide unclassified non-coding RNA is filed under the name Basidiomycota sp. Its description in RNAcentral is "partial contains small subunit ribosomal RNA, internal transcribed spacer 1, and 5.8S ribosomal RNA". The stretch from base 1 to 47 matches the Rfam family "Eukaryotic small subunit ribosomal RNA", at positions 1785 to 1831 of the family's 1831-position model. Lineage: Eukaryota; Fungi; Basidiomycota. The record is from RNAcentral.
AAAGUCGUAACAAGGUCUCCGUAGGUGAACCUGCGGAGGGAUCAUUAACACUAUUUGGCUGAAAUGACGAACAAAGUCGAAAGACAAUGGGACCUCAUUUCAGUUCAAAUUCAAACCACACUGUUGAACUCGGUUACCUUGUGUAGCCAAUCCUCCCUUUGAAUCAGAAAUGUUAAUGGAUAGUUUGUAGUGGGUUGACGUAAGUCAACGACUACCAUUAACUAGCAAAGCUAUAUUAACUUAAUUGUUACUAUUGACUUUGAGUUUCUGUUUCUUAGGCAAUUCUAACCAAUGUUUCCUCCACUAUAGAAAUGAACCUAUUUCACCCCUUCGUACUCCAAUUGACUGAUCUCUAUGCUGGAGACCCGAAAGGGCUCAUAUACAGCAAGCCUUUAAGAUAAUUCUUAAACUAAGCACAACUCUUAGCAACGGAUAUCUUGGCUCUC